Molecule: ribosomal RNA, 510 nt
Filed under: uncultured bacterium
Lineage: Bacteria
Description: partial 16S rRNA
Rfam family: Bacterial small subunit ribosomal RNA
Source: RNAcentral
AAAAGGGGGGUGUGGGUUCGUUANUAUUUUUUUGAUAGAAAAAGAAAAAAANGAAAGAAUCAGCGAAUUUUUUUUCUGUUUUUUUUUACAAAAAAAUGGCAGAAAGUCUCCCCCACCCCCCCCCAACACAACGGUAAUAAGUAGGUCUCUAGUUUUUUGUUGAUUAAUGAAAAGAGAGGGAGUCCAAUUUUNGAGUGAAUAUGAGUCGAAUCCGUUCCAUUGGGCAGGAUAAUGAAAAAGAAACAAAUGAAUUUGAGACAGAAGAGGAGAGGNAACGAAACUNNNNNNCAGGGGUGGAAAGNUAGAUAUAUGGAAGAACACCAGUGGCGAAGGGGGCUCUUUGGNNNGCAACUGACGCUGAGGCUCGAAAACAUGGGUAGCGAACAGGAUUAGAUACCCUGGUAGUCCAUGCCGUAAACGAUGAGUGCUAAGUGUUGGGAGGUUUCCNCCUCCNCNGUGCUGCAGCUAACGCAUUAAGCACUCCGCCUGGGGAGUACGACCGCAAGGUUG